RNAcentral lists this transfer RNA (94 nucleotides) under Pseudomonas frederiksbergensis. RNAcentral's name for it is "tRNA-Arg". The stretch from base 2 to 70 matches the Rfam family "tRNA". From Rfam's summary of the family: Transfer RNA (tRNA) molecules are approximately 80 nucleotides in length. Their secondary structure includes four short double-helical elements and three loops (D, anti-codon, and T loops). Lineage: Bacteria; Pseudomonadati; Pseudomonadota; Gammaproteobacteria; Pseudomonadales; Pseudomonadaceae. The record is from RNAcentral.
UGUCUCAGUAGCUCAAUUGGAUAGAGCAUCCCCCUCCUAAGGGGAAGGUUGGCAGUUCUUAUCUGGGGUGGGAUCUAGUCUCCUGCUGAGAUAA